GAGGGGCAGCGGGGAUAAGCUUGCUUAUCCGCCGGCGACCGGCGCACGGGUGCGCAACGCGUAUAGAAUCUGCCUUGUACUGGGGAAUAGCCCAGAGAAAUUUGGAUUAAUGCCCCAUGGUAUGUAGGAGCGGCAUCGCUUCUACAUUAAAGGCUACGGUACAAGAUGACUAUGCGUCCCAUUAGUUAGUUGGCGAGGUAACGGCUCACCAAGACGGCGAUGGGUAGGGGCCCUGAGAGGGGGAUCCCCCACACUGGUACUGAGACACGGACCAGACUCCUACGGGAGGCAGCAGUGAGGAAUAUUGGACAAUGGGCGAGAGCCUGAUCCAGCCAUGCCGCGUGCAGGAAGACGGUCCUAUGGAUUGUAAACUGCUUUUAUACGGGAAGAACAAAGGGCACGUGUGCCCCUCUGACGGUACCGUAAGAAUAAGGAUCGGCUAACUCCGUGCCAGCAGCCGCGGUAAUACGGAGGAUCCAAGCGUUAUCCGGAAUCAUUGGGUUUAAAGGGUCCGUAGGCGGGCCAUUAAGUCAGGGGUGAAAGUCUGCAGCUCAACUGUAGAAUUGCCCUUGAUACUGGUGGUCUUGAGUUAUAGUGAAGUAACUAGAAUAUGUAGUGUAGCGGUGAAAUGCAUAGAUAUUACAUAGAAUACCGAUUGCGAAGGCAGGUUACUAACUAUAUACUGACGCUGAUGGACGAAAGCGUGGGGAGCGAACAGGAUUAGAUACCCUGGUAGUCCACGCCGUAAACGAUGGAUACUAGCUGUCCGGAUGCAAAUCUGGGCGGCCAAGCGAAAGUGAUAA
This 803-nucleotide ribosomal RNA is filed under the name uncultured Arenibacter sp. RNAcentral's name for it is "bacterial SSU rRNA". It matches the Rfam family "Bacterial small subunit ribosomal RNA", at positions 64 to 863 of the family's 1533-position model. Lineage: Bacteria; Pseudomonadati; Bacteroidota; Flavobacteriia; Flavobacteriales; Flavobacteriaceae. The record is from RNAcentral.